This 25-nucleotide non-coding RNA is filed under the name Mus musculus (house mouse). Lineage: Eukaryota; Metazoa; Chordata; Mammalia; Rodentia; Muridae. The record is from RNAcentral.
CUAUGCUUAAGCAAUAGGUCGCUGG